Molecule: long non-coding RNA, 1672 nt
Organism: Lineus longissimus
Lineage: Eukaryota; Metazoa; Nemertea; Pilidiophora; Heteronemertea; Lineidae
Exons: 2
Source: RefSeq, a predicted model, not a curated record
UGGGAUCUACUUUACACACACGAGAGAAGUGCAAUUGUAUCGGCCGAUGAUUCGUGGAGUUUGUGAACAAAAAUACGCAUACGGUACUGUACGCAUACUCACCUCAUGCAUCUAAACCUUUGGUGUGGAUCUUUGCUCGGUAGAAACAGAUUGAGGAAAAUGAUUGGUUUGUUUGACCACAGCCGAAAGGGCUGAUUGAGUUAUUUUGUUUUCGCUGAACGACGGAAGUAGCAGCAUCGCUCUUCAAACUUUUCGUGUGACCUGCAAUAAUGUGGACCAACAAGCUAGGCACAUGUCAGCAUGGUCAACGCAUAUCCACGGCAACCCCAUCGUAUACCGUUUUUGGGAACAACACUGACUUUGUUCUUGAUGGAGAGAGUUGUCUUCUGCAUGCCUUGCUCUGCGAUGGUCGUUGGUAGCGUAAGUCAACCACUCUUGCAGGACUAAAAGUAUGUAUGCGUGCACUAACUCGAAUAAUCAGACAAUUGCGGUCCGCGUGUACCCAACUGCCAAGAUUCCUUCGAAUUAUCAGGGAAUGUAGAGAUUGUGAUAUGAACUAUAUCGUUGCCCAAGCCAUGACAUCUAGUGGCACUACACGACUUACAGACAUCCUGGAAUCGGGACAGCCUGUGUAUUUCAGCCAGCAGCUUUUAGACUUUACUCAGGCCUAUGUUAUGGUGGUCGUUCUUCCACUUGGGAUCAUCGGCAACGCAUUGUCCUUUGUGAUAUUCUUGCGGGUGAGGAGGCGGGCGAACGCCUGCGUCCAGUACCUCAGUUGUCUUGCUGUUUCCGAUACUGGCGUCAUUCUUAUGGGAGGAGUGACCGACUGGAUAUCUUUCGGUCUAAAGCAUAUCACGGAUGGCGCGUACGAUAUAGGUGACCUCUUAACGUACAGUAACACAACAUGUAAAUUUCUUGCUGGUUUUCGUCACAUUUUCGAAGUAAUAUCAGCGUGGAUAAUCGUGGCUUUUUCUGUGGAGCGGGCCUACGUGGUUUGGUUUCCUCUAAAACGUGCGACAAUCACGUCAAAACAGAGGAAAUUAGUAAUUGUUGUCAUAUUCGUCACCGCUAUACUCCUUAGUGUUCAGCGUUUCAUUUUAUUGGGUGUUCUUUCAGGAUCAGUGGCUCUCUGCUUCUAUCAAACGACUCAGUAUAUUUCAGCUGUGCUUUGGCAGCUGGACAUCGCUUUCUACGGUUAUGUUCCAUGUACCUUGAUUUUCCUUGCCAACAUUUUGAUAUUGGUUGCCAUUUCCCUCUCUAGGAAACAGAGGCUAGGAGAAAAUGCCCGUAAAGGCGGCGGCGAAGGAAGUACAAAAGAUGUUCCGAAUAAACCGGCAGAGUUCUGGGUAAAUUGCCAAUUUUAUGAAUUCCUGAUAGAUGGAGUGGAUCUUCAGAGAGUAGACAAUGCAUAAGAGAACAAGAACAUGUCAAGCUUUUCUGAACACAGUCGUUGCGGCAGCUAGCAAGCAAAAGGAAAUACUAGUUAUUGUAACACAAAUAUGCACGUCGUAGAGGUUUUUCCUUAGGCACUUCAUUUUAUUUAUGGAAGAGGAUAUGUACACAACAUGCUGUGUAUGCAACAGAAAAAAGUAUUGUUGCAAACACAGUAUGCUGUGAACGCUAGCAAGCAUCGCGCUUGCGUACACAGCAUGUAUACAAUGUACAGCAUUGU